UGCUCUUAUGAGAUCACUAUCAGGAAGUGCUGUCAGAAUCGACAGCUGAGGAUAACUCCUGGCUGACU
Small nucleolar RNA from Artibeus jamaicensis (Jamaican fruit-eating bat), 68 nucleotides. RefSeq annotates it as small nucleolar RNA SNORD49. The transcript has a single exon. The record is from RefSeq and is a predicted model, not a curated record. Lineage: Eukaryota; Metazoa; Chordata; Mammalia; Chiroptera; Phyllostomidae.